UGUCCUCUGUUCCUCCAUUCACCUACAUUGGGCAAGAGACUGUGCAUCUACCCGAUCUAUUCCUCUCAUGAUGUUAUACACCUCUGUAAGGUCAUCCGAGGAAAUGGUGGGAAGCUAGAGCACAAAUUGCAAGUGGCCUGGCUGAGAUAUAUGAAUCAUCAUUAGACAUGGGUGAGGUGACGGAAGACUGGAGGAUGCUAAUGUUGUGUUUUAUUUAUGAAGGGCCUCAAGGAAAAGCCUUGGAACUGUAGACCAGCAGACCUAGCAUCUGUGGUAAGUUACUGGAGAGUAUUCUGAAGGAUAAGAUAGAUAAACAGGAGCUGAUUAGGGAUAGUCAGUAUGGUUUUGUGCGCGGGAGAUCAUAUCUUACGAAUCUAAUUGAGUAUUUUGAAGACUUAACUAAAAAGGUUGAUGAGGGCAAAUCCAUAGUCUAUAUCAAGGCAUUUGAUAAGGUUCCACAUGUUAGGCAGUUCUGGAAGGUUAGAUUGCAUUUGAUCCUAGGAGAAUGAGCCAACUGGAUAGAAAAUUGGCUUAAUGAGAGGGUGUUGGUAGAAACUUAUUUUUCAGACUGCAGGCCUGUGAUUAGUGGUGUGCCUCAGGGAUCGGUGCUGGACCCAUUGCUGUUUGCAGUUUAUAUCAAUGGAAUAUAGAAGGCAUGGUUAGUAAGUUUGCAGAUGACAUUAAAGUGAGUGGUAUCGUAGAUGGCACAGAUGGUUAUCAAAAAUGACAUCAAGAUCUUGACCCGUGUGCUGAGGAAUGGUCAAUGGAAUUUAAUGCAGAUAAGUGCAAGGCAUUGCAUUUUGGGAAGUUAAACCAGGGCAGGACCAAAGAUUAUAGAGGCUCCUCUAGGAUCUUUGGGCAGGACCCUCACAGAGAAUGGCAGGGCUCUGGUGAGUGUUGUAGAGCAGAAGGACAGAGGAAUGCAACUGCAUAGUUCCUUGCAAGUGAUAUCACAGUGAUCAAAUAGGCUUUCAUUACAUGGGCCUUUAUCUGUCAGGGUAUUGAGUAUAGAAAUCGGGAUGUUGUGUUAUAAUUGUACAAUACAUUAGUGAGGCUGCAUUUAGAGUAUUGUGUUCAGUUACUCUGCUAUGGGACAGAUGUUGUUAAACUGUAAAGAGUGUAGAGAAAAUUUAUGAGAAUGUUGACAAAACUUGAUGGCCUGAGCUAUAGGGAGAGGUUGGGCAGGCUAGAAUUUUAUUCCUGGAACACAGGAGGGUGAGGGAUGAUCUUAUGGAGGUUAUUUGAGGUGAAUAGGAGAAGAGAUUUGAGGGGAAUAGAUAGAGUGACUGCACAGCGAAUUUUAUCCAUUGUAGGGGAAUUAAGAAAUGGACAACAUCGGUUUAAGGUGAGAGGGGAAAAAUGUUAUAGGAAACUGAGGAGCGCAUUUUUCAUACAGAGGGUGGUGGGCAUAGGGAACAAGUUGCUAGAGCAGGUAGUUGAGGCUGGUACUAUAACAAUAUUUAAAAGAUAUUUAGACUGGUACAUGGGUAGGAAAGAUUUAGAGGAUUUAGAGAAAGAUUUAGAGGAUUACGUCCAAAAGUGGGCACCUGUUUAUGUGGCAUCUUGUACGGCAAGGGUAAGUUGGGCAGAAGGGCUUGGCUCUGUGUGUAUAACUAAAACUCUUUUUCAUGGUGACAACUUCAAUAACAUAAGUGCAAAAUUCUGGCAUUCACUUUGUCCCUUUAUCCCCUCCUCCCUUCCUUCCUUUAGGACUUACAUUAAAUCUUACCUCUAUGACCAACAUUUUAAUCAGUCCUGGUAUUUCUUGCUAGGGUUUGAUUGAUGUUUGAUUAUGUUCUGUAUAAAUUAAGAAGAAGAUACUGGUUCUUAUUCUGUGUAUGAGCUGUAGUUUUGUUUCUCAGGCUCUGAACAUUCUCCGUGUUUUACGUACUAAUCCUUUUGUUUCACAGCUGCCUGACUGGCUGAGUAUUUCCAGCAUUUCCUGUUUUUUACAAAACAGAGCUCUUUGUUGACCCCAUACUUGUUAUUACGUUGAUAUGUCAGCGGAGGCAACGUUGCUUUUAUUUUGACACCUUUUUAAUUAUACUUGGAGAUUGUUUUCAUGGAAUAGUUUUGUGCAGUUUUCAAGUUAAAUCCUUCGUCCCUACACCAGUGAAUGAACAGGAGUACCAGAUUAAGCAUUAGAGACAACCCUGAGAAAUUGUUGUCAAUGUUUCUAGUUGAAACCCUGCAUCAGGACUUCUGAUUUUAGCUCCAGUAAUUCAGUGAUCUGAAAUAAUAACUCUGUUUAUCUCUCACAUAGAAGCUGCUGAGUGUUUGCAGCUUUUCAUUUGUUUUAUUUCAGGAUUCCAUCAUCUGCAGUUUUUUUGCUUUUUCAUUUGGAAUUGUAAAUGCUGGGAGGCAAAGUCAUGUCAACUUUAGAUCAACCUCAAAGAUGAUAAAGUUACAGUAAGGGCAGCAAAGUUGCACAACUGGUAGAGUUCCUUCCUCACAUCUUCCCCAUUGCUCCUUCUAUUGUACUUGAAUUUGACUUGAUUCUAUUUGUGUCUAGUAUUAUCUGUUUAGAUAGCAUGCAAAACACAGCUUUUCACCUGACAGUACACGUGACAAUAAAAACCUAAACUUAAAUCGAAACCUAAACCAGAAACCUGGGUUUGCAUGUUCUCCCUGUAACUGUGUGGGUUUUAUCGAUAUUUUCUGGUUUCCUCCCACAUCACAAAGACAUUCAGAUUCAGAUUCAAUUAAUUGUCAUUGUCAGUGUACAGUACAGAGACGACGAAAUGCAACGAAAGACAUAGGAGUGUGCAGGUUAAUUGGCCUCUGUAAAUUACCCCUAGUAUGUAAGGACUGGAUGAAAAAGCAGAAUAACAUAAAACUAAUGAGAAUGUGUCAUUAAUGUUCAGACUAGACUGAGUGGGUCUGUUUCCAUGCUGUAUCUCUGAAACAAAAUUAGUAAAUGAAAAAAAAUGAUCAAAGCUUGACACAAAAUGCUGGAGUAACUCAUUUUUUUAUAAUGAAAGUGAAUCAAGAUUGUGCAGGGUAUCAGAUGGCCAUUUCAUUUAUUCAUGCUCAGGGUAUGAAUAUUGACAAGGCUGCCAAUUGUUGCCCACAUCUUGUUGCUCUUCAGGUAGCUUAGAACUUCUCAAUCACUGGAAGUGGUGUGGGGCAGACAAUCCCGUUAAAUAGAGAGGUCAAGGGUUUUUGACUCAGUGGCCGUGAAGCAGCAACAGUAUACCUUCAUAUCAGGACAUGGCUAAGUAAAUUUGUCUGAGUAAGAAAACAAAUCCAUUGCAAAUAGCAGUCUAUUUAAUAUUAACUGGAGCAGUUGGGCAUAAAUGAGCUCAGUUUUAUAAAUGCUUUUUCUUUCUCUGGCUAAAGGUGAACUAAAACAGAGAGAUUUGAACUGCCAUGACAACAGAGAGGGAUCGAACUCCAUUUAACACGUUGUGGACUACAGACAUACCUGCAGAAAAAUUCUGCACCACACUUGGGGAACGUUGAGUCCACAGAGAGCUUUCUGAGGGCAAGGGAGGGCUGCAGCUACAUCAGCAGCAAUGCAGUUGGAUGUUCCAAUGGACCAAAUCCUCAAGACUGCAGGAUGGUCAACGGAGAGAACAUUCCAACGAUUUUAUAAUAAACCAGUCAUUGAACCUGGAACAUUUGCAGAAACACUUUUAAGUUCUGUAAUAUGAUUUUACCCCAUAAAGAGGGGCUAUGAUUUGGUGCUAAUAAAUUUUUUGUUGUUUCAAUAUCGUAUUGAUAUCUAAUGAUGUUAACACUAUUCUCCCCAUAAUCAAGGCAGAUGUGAUGCAUGGACUCGUUUCCACGGCAUGAAAUCACAGAGCUUUAAAAUUUACCAGUUUGAAGUUUGAUCUUUAUUUUAUGAGGAGUAACGUUGAGGGAAUAC
Molecule: long non-coding RNA, 3868 nt
Organism: Leucoraja erinaceus (little skate)
Lineage: Eukaryota; Metazoa; Chordata; Chondrichthyes; Rajiformes; Rajidae
Exons: 3
Source: RefSeq, a predicted model, not a curated record